This 84-nucleotide non-coding RNA is filed under the name pig gut metagenome. RNAcentral's name for it is "NiCo riboswitch". It matches the Rfam family "NiCo (Nickel/Cobalt) riboswitch aptamer". The record is from RNAcentral.
ACAGUACAAACUGAACAGACCGUGAUUAAAGUCAUGGAGUCGGGUCACUUGAGUGACAGUGGAAUUUUACACCCACGGGACAGU